Molecule: long non-coding RNA, 1024 nt
Filed under: Zonotrichia albicollis (white-throated sparrow)
Lineage: Eukaryota; Metazoa; Chordata; Aves; Passeriformes; Passerellidae
Description: lncRNA (ENSZALG00000007286.1)
Source: RNAcentral
CAGAGCUCUGGGUGAUUCAGGUGCUGCAGCCUGCUCUGUGCCCAGCACUGUUCUCAGUGCCCGGCAGCUCUGAGAGCCUCACCCCUGCAGCGCUGGGCACUCAGGACAGCCCCACCUCACACCUCUCAAAGGCUUUUCCAAAUCUCAGCUAACCUCCAGUGAGGUCAAACACUCCCUAAAACAAGCAGCAAAAAGGAAGGAAACAGUUGAGCCUUAGAUAUGCUUCCCAUCUUCUCCCACACACCACCUCAGAUGGGAACUUGCCAGACCCUCAGGAUUAAUACCGAGACUCUCCUGUGGAAAAGCCUAACAUGUUCCAUUGCCAAAGCCCAUCUCAGUGCUUCAAAAACUGUGCAAGGAUCUGCAGGGGAAGCUGAGAGGAAAGGAAUAACGAGACUGAAGAUGGCCCCGAUGUCUGAGGUCCAGACAGCUCAGCAAGGGAGCUCGGAGCUGCCAGGAAGGCAGUGAAGGGACACAGCAGGACCCAGCAGAGCCACAGAGCCAGCAGCCUGAGUGCUCAACAGCUCGCUGCAGAGAGCCUGCCUCUGAGCCAGGGCUCGGUGGAAAAUAACAGCAAGAAGGAGCUCAGAGCAAAAAGAGCACUUGGCCUGAGACCAUGCUGCAGGCAGGGACUGUGCUUCUCCAGGAGCAGCUCGCUGCAGCCCCUCAGUGCUGGGAGCAGCUGGCCCCAGCCAGUUCCUGCCCCCACCAGCCCCUGGCACUGCCCAGAGCCCUCAGUGCCUCCAGCCAUGCUCUGGUGCCCUGCCACAGCUGUCCCACAUCCCUGCAGUAGGCCAAGCUGAAAGCAGCUUGCAGAGCAGAAACCUUUUUCUGCACCUCAUUUUUUCCAAGCACUGGCAUAUUCCUGUACUGACUACCUAACUGUGAACUCCCCUACCAUUUAUUUCCAACUUCCACCACUUUAACUUGACUCAAACGUUUGGGUGUGUGCCCCAAAACAACCACAAAAAUUGUAGUAAUUCCAUUCAAUAAAACUAAAGAACAAAUGCUAAAAACUUUAGUG